CUCUCAACGCUCUCACUCUCAGAGCUCUCUCUCCCUCAGAUAAAUACAUAAUCAGUGUGGACGUAGCCCAAACCUUGGGGUGAACCACGAUACAUUUUGUGUUAUUUACAUUACUUGUAGAUUCACGGUCGGAUUUACAUUGUACCAAGAUCUCCGAUUUUGUGCAUCAACAUCACCAAUAUGAAUAAGCACGUUUAUCAACGUUUAAAUGAUAAACAAAUCAUCAACCUCCAUAUCCUUUCGUUUUCAAUAACGUAUUUACAAAUUUAGUCUCCCUAACAUUACCCUUUUCAAAAAUACUUAAAUGCUUUUAUACUCAAAAUCAAUUUCACAAAAGACUUUCAAAUGGUUUUAAAGAGAUGGAUUGGCUUCAAAGAGAUGGAAUCCUGUUAUUAGAGCUUGAUAGAUUACUGAGACCUGGAGGGUAUUUUGUGUAUACUUCUCCUGAAGCAUAUGCAUUUGAUCCAAAAAAUAGGAGGAUCUGGAAUGCUAUGUCUAAUCUUCUGAAAAGAAUGUGCUGGAGAGUUGUAGCGAAGAAAGAUGGGCCAAGCCCCUGACUAAUAGUUGGUAUCUGUGGCGAAAAAAUGGUACUUUCAUGAGAAAAUUUUGUAGAUGAAUGAAUAUUUUCAAUCUGGAUAUUUAUUAGAUAUUAGAAAUUAUAAGUCUAUUCACGAAAGUCUAAGUCAAUGCCACGUAAAAUAUUUGUUAAGACAUAUUUAGGGAACUGUUAUUAGCACUCCAAAAAUCUCAUUAUACAUUCCGCACAAGUGUAUUUUUCUUUCUAAUUAUAGAAUGUUUUGAAUGUCAAAUAAGAUUUUUAGUGUACUCAUAAUAAUUUUCUAUAUUUAUAUACAUUUUAUUUUAGUUUGGAAGUUGACUUCCUUUUUUCCCUUUCUUUAUCAAGUUGGGAGUAUCACUAACUGUUACCCUAUGCAACUAGUUGUUUAUUUGUGUUGAAUAAUCAAAUUACAAAACUUGUAUAAAAAAAAUGCAUUAAUCUAAAGUUAGCGUACAAGAUGGUCAAUUCACGAGAACGACUAACAAAACAAAAUUACCGUCACCAUAAUGUUCCAAUUCACUAAGACAAGAUCAUACGUAAAACCCUCUUUACAUGUUAGCGGCCCCGAAUGCUGCAACCACGGCAACCUAUUCUCUAAAAAGUCGCUCUCGCGUGUGAUUAAAUACAUACAUUUUUUUUCAAAUAAAAGCACUCAUAAAGUGGAUGCGAGCAUUGUCUAAAGAUUCGCAUCCAUUUCCAGUCAAGAACCCAAAGGGAAUUCUCUUCCACCAUAUUUCUGUGCAUCAAUGAUGGAACUGUCACGGCAAAAAUGAAGAGCACUUUUAAUAUUUUUAAUUAAAUAUGGCUUGUGUAUUUGUAUACGCAACAAUGCGGAUCGGAUAAGAUAUGGUGCAAAACACACAUGUGACGUCACGACUAUUUUGUCACGGUAUUCGACUCAUUUGUUUAAACAAAAAAUACAACAUGGUCCGAACGAGCCUCGAUUAAAGAGAAUUAAUGGACUGGAAUCAACCCGAACCGAACCAGUCCCGAUUGGAACCGAUGGUGACUUUAAACGGUCACAGCAAGGUGUGUUUGACAUUGUCGUUUAAAAGCUUCGUGUAGUAGACUUGGCACAUCUUAUGAGCUGUGACCCUGGGACAUGGGACGGGCCUUGCACCACAACAUUCUAAUAGGGUAAAAGAAUCCCAAAGGAUUUCUGGAGCAGGCCCUACCUAUGUAUACGCGACUACAAACUAGAGUUUGGCAAACAAAUAUUGAACCUGCGAGUCGGGAUGGGUCCAAGCGGAUUGGAAAAGGCGGGUUUAAUUUUUUUAAAAAUAAACGGGAUGGGUCCAAAUAAAAAAAUAAAUAAAUAAAAGGGUCUUGGCCCGAAUAUUUUCUCCCUCUCUGGCGUCUGGCGAUGAUUGUCACCAUCGUCUCCUCCCAAACCUUCCAAUUGUUAACAACAAAUAACGCAACGUCUUUAGAUACGCAUGUGAGAAUGAACAAAAAUGCAUCAACAGUUGAGUCAAAUUCAAUGCUUCCUAAGCUCAUAACCAAAUUAAAAGUUUAAAAGCAUGGCGAAAGAAGGUUCAAAGUCAUUGCCAAAAUUUCCUUAAAAAAUACACAAAUUGAAGGAUACUUUAGGUAUAUCAAGUCAUCUGCUUGAUACUCACGGUGGAACAAGGUUUCAAAGUCGCUGCCAAAUUUUCCUAAAAAAUAAACAAAUAGGAGAUUUGUGAUUUACAGUUUUCAGAGUUGAUACAUGUCUUGAUAGAAACCUUAUCUACCAACUACGAUUGAAGCCAAAUUUGAUGUUUAGGGAGCACUAAUUAUAAAAAUCUCAUUUUACACUCCAUAAGUGUAUUUUUCUUUCUAAUUAUAGAAAGUUCAGAGUGCCAAAUGAGAUUUUUGAAAUGCUAAUAACAAUUUUCUAUAUUUACAUACAUUUUAUUUUAGUUUAGAAGUCGACUUCUUUUUUUUCUUCUUUCUUUAUCAAGUUGGAAGUAUCACUCACUGUGACCUUGUGCAACUAGUUGUUGAUUCGUUUUGAAUAAUCAAAUUACUAAGUUUGUAUAAUAAAAAAAUGCGUUAAUCUAAAGUUAGCAUACAAGGUGGUCAAUUCACGAAAACGACUAACAAAAAAAAAAAAAAAAACUCACUGCCACCAUAAUGUUCCAAUUCACUACAAGAUCAUGUGUAAAACCCUCUUUACAUGUUAGCGGCCCCGAAUGCUGCUACCACGGCAGCAACCUAUGCUCUAAAAAGUCUCUCUCGCGUGUGAUUAAAUACAUAUAUUUUUUUCAAAUAAAAGCACUCAUAAAGUGGACGCGAGCAUUGUCUAAUGAUUCGCAUCGUUCUGUCAAGACCAUCCAUUUCCAGUCAAGAACCCAAAGGGAAUAAUCUUCCACCAUAUUUCUGUGCAGCAAUGAUGGAACUGUCAUGGCAAAAAUGAGAAGGUCUUUUAAUAUUUUGAAUUAAAUAUGACUUGUGUAUUUGUAUACGCAACAAUGGGGAUCGGACAUAAGUUGUACAAUAAGAUAUGGUGCAAAUCACAC
This 3060-nucleotide long non-coding RNA is filed under the name Malus domestica (apple). RNAcentral's name for it is "long non-coding RNA (MDOM_LNC007842)". Lineage: Eukaryota; Viridiplantae; Streptophyta; Magnoliopsida; Rosales; Rosaceae. The record is from RNAcentral.